ACCUUCGGUUUGCAGCAUUGUGAUAUUUUCAACCUACCAUUUAGUUUCUCACCUUUAUAACCCCUUGAAACAAAAACUAAUUUGAUAGACAUGGUUUGUUAGUUCUUGUUUUUCUAUCUUGAAUGAGUUUUUCUCCCAUAAUUACAAGAGCAAUUUCUACAUUUUGUAAUCCGUAGUAUGGUGCUGGACAUUUUGAUAAAGAGUGCAAGGAGAGGCUUGGAUAGAGCAGAAAUAUAUAGUGUUUCAUUCUCUCCAACUGCUCAGUGGCUAGCCGUCUCCAGCGACAAAGGCACUGUUCAUGUCUUCAGCCUCAAGGUCAAUCUAGUGUACUUGAGUACUAACAACUCAAAUAGUUCACCCCACUCCCGUGUUCCUGUGGUGGCCUCUAGUUCGCUCUCCUUCAUCGGAGGUAUUUCCAAAGCAGAUUUAAGGUUUCUAGUUAUAUUUUUAAAUCUUAGAUGGGUAUCCGUUCAUACUCAAUAAAAUUAUUUGGCAUUUUAACUAGAUAUUUAUAAAUCCUGUUAAGCAAUAAAAAAUGUUGUUUGUAAGUUGUUACUCUGUCCCUAAGAACAUGACCUUUAAUUCCUAAUUUUCAGGCAUCUUUUUAAAAAGUGAGUAUAUUCUACAACAUGCACUUCAUAUAUCGGAAUUGCAAUCACUACCAUUGAGAGCAAA
Non-coding RNA from Nicotiana tabacum (common tobacco), 675 nucleotides. NCBI's taxonomy places the organism in Eukaryota, Viridiplantae, Streptophyta, Magnoliopsida, Solanales, Solanaceae. The record is from RefSeq and is a predicted model, not a curated record.